GGAUCAAUUGAUUGGUCAUGCCUACGGUAUGUACUAGUCAUAUUGGUUCUCACCUUCUAAUGAACCUUAAUGUCAUUCACUUGAUGUUUUGGGGAAUUAGGACUGUUACCUUGAAAAAAUUAGAGUGUUUAAAGCAGGCAUCCGCUUGAAUACAUUAGCAUGGAAUAACAGAAUAAGACU
Molecule: ribosomal RNA, 180 nt
Filed under: uncultured Glomeromycotina
Lineage: Eukaryota; Fungi; Glomeromycota
Description: partial small subunit ribosomal RNA
Rfam family: Eukaryotic small subunit ribosomal RNA
Source: RNAcentral